RNAcentral lists this long non-coding RNA (351 nucleotides) under Androctonus crassicauda. Lineage: Eukaryota; Metazoa; Arthropoda; Arachnida; Scorpiones; Buthidae. The record is from RNAcentral.
AGAACUUAACCGUUAGAAUAGUAUUCAUGAAAAACUCAAAAAAUUAAAAAUCAAAACAAAAAUAAAAUUAAAAUUGUUUGUUAGUGGCAAGGAGCACAUGGACUACGACGGGGGCCGUUCUCCAUCGAAACCGAACAAUGGUGCGCGUCGUCAUCAGGCAAACAAUGCUGCGGGUGAUCAUUGCUUCGAACUAGGUCGAUUACACUCGCAUAGUAAAUACUCCCAAGCAGCAGGUACCCAGACCGCUGUUCUGUCAUUGAUAAGGUGGCGGUCACGCCCUCUAGCUAAUGGUUAUACAUUCCAAAGCAGUUUAAAGUUACAAUAGAAUAGAUCAUUCCACUUUGAUUUUUG